This is a long non-coding RNA of Myodes glareolus (Bank vole), 989 nucleotides long. RefSeq lists it as uncharacterized. The record is from RefSeq and is a predicted model, not a curated record. NCBI's taxonomy places the organism in Eukaryota, Metazoa, Chordata, Mammalia, Rodentia, Cricetidae.
CUCAGACUCACAGAGAUCCACCUGCCUCUGCUUCCCACGUGCUGGGAUUAAAGGAACUGAAAUUUCAGAGCCUCUAAAAUGUGAAAAACAAAAACAAAAAAUUGUAUGCUACAAGAGAAUCGUGCUUUGGAUCUCUGGCUGUCCUGGAACUCACUGUGAGGAAGCAGCCUGGCCUGGAACUCGACCCACCUGCUUCUCCCUCCUGAGUGUGAGCACGGGAACUGAAAGCAGACACCACCACACCUGAUGACUCACCCUAUAAACCUCCGGCCAUCACCAUUCCCGCCUGAGUGGGCCAUGUGCUGCCUUCCAGCUGACAUCACUGGAAACCUUGAGUCUGCACCAAAGCAGCCCCGGGCCUCCAUGACCUUUCUCCACAAUGCACAGCGGGGCUGGACUUCUCAAAGCUCAGAACAUUCAUGUCUGUUGCUCAGACCCCAUGCAGGCUACCAUUUGAGCUCAGCCCAUUCUUAGAUAUUUAUGAAUACCCUACAGCAGCCCCAUUGAAAAUCAAGACUCAGAUUCUGGCUUUCAAAAACUUUCCUAGGGCCGGUGAGCUGGCUCGGCAGGUAAAAGUGCUUGCAGUCAAACCCGACGUUUUAAAACAAGCCUCAGAACACAAUUGGCGGAAGGAGAGAACAAACUUCCACAAGCUGCCUUCUGACCUCCAUCCACACUUGCGUUCUGAUGUAUUCCAAGCCCACUCUUGAACACUCACAUCCACACGCAAUACAUAAAAAUGUAAUAAGAUUUUAAAAAGCUUUCCUGAUCUGCUCCAGGAUUUCAGGAAGCCCUGUGUCUGUUUGCCUCAGUUGAGAGAAGGCCAGCAGGGCAGAGGAAGCCUGUGACUGCCUCACGCUGACACACAGAUGACUUUGGAGAAGUCACCUAAGAAAUAUCUUACCUCAAUGGCCAUGUCUGCUUUCGUUCCUACGGUUCCUACAGGAUCUGCAGUUGCCUCAUCCCCCUGUAGCAGCACACCGGACCAC